UCCACUGAACUUUCAGAGAUGGAUUGGUGCCUUCGGAACAUUGAGACAGGUGCUGCAUGGUGUCGUCAGCUCGUGUCGUGAGAUGUUGGGUUAAGUCCCGUAACGAGCGCAACCCUUGUCCUUAGUUACCAGCACGUAAUGGUGGGCACUCUAAGGAGACUGCCGGUGACAAACCGCAGAAAGGUGGGGAUGACGUCAAGUCAUCAUGGCCUUACGCCUGGCUACACACGUGCUACAUGGUCGGUACAGAGGUGCAGCGCGAGUGAGCUAUCCAUAUACGAUCGUAGUCGAUCGCAGUCUGCACUCGACUGCGUGAGUCGAUCGCUAGUAUCGCGAUCAGAUGUCGCGUGAUACGUCC
This 358-nucleotide ribosomal RNA is filed under the name Pseudomonas putida. Its description in RNAcentral is "bacterial SSU rRNA". It matches the Rfam family "Bacterial small subunit ribosomal RNA", at positions 987 to 1373 of the family's 1533-position model. The record is from RNAcentral. Lineage: Bacteria; Pseudomonadati; Pseudomonadota; Gammaproteobacteria; Pseudomonadales; Pseudomonadaceae.